GAUGAACGCUAGCUACAGGCUUAACACAUGCAAGUCGAGGGGAAACGAUAGAGAAAGCUUGCUUUUUCUAGGCGUCGACCGGCGCACGGGUGAGUAACGCGUAUCCAACCUGCCCAUCACUUGGGGAUAACCUUGCGAAAGUAAGACUAAUACCCAAUGACGUCUCUAGAAGACAUCUGAAAGAGAUUAAAGAUUUAUCGGUGAUAGAUGGGGAUGCGUCUGAUUAGCUUGUUGGCGGGGUAACGGCCCACCAAGGCGACGAUCAGUAGGGGUUCUGAGAGGAAGGUCCCCCACAUUGGAACUGAGACACGGUCCAAACUCCUACGGGAGGCAGCAGUGAGGAAUAUUGGUAAAUGGACGAGAGUCUGAACCAGCCAAGUAGCGUGCAGGAUGACGGCCCUAUGGGUUGUAAACUGCUUUUAUAAGGGAAUAAAGUGAGAGUCGUGACUCUUUUUGCAUGUACCUUAUGAAUAAGGACCGGCUAGUUCCGUGCCAGCCGCCGCCGUAA
RNAcentral lists this ribosomal RNA (508 nucleotides) under uncultured bacterium. RNAcentral describes it as "partial 16S ribosomal RNA". It matches the Rfam family "Bacterial small subunit ribosomal RNA", at positions 28 to 523 of the family's 1533-position model. The record is from RNAcentral.